GACGAACGCUGGCGGCGUGCUUAACACAUGCAAGUCGAGCGGUAAGGCCCUUUCGGGGUACGACGAGCGGCGAACGGGUGAGUAACACGUGGGUGACCUGCCCUCAGCUCUGGGAUAAGCCUGGGAAACCGGGUCUAAUACUGGAUAUGACUCCAUGACGCAUGUUGUGGGGUGGAAAGCCUUGUGCGGCUGAGGAUGGGCCCGCGGCCUAUCAGCUUGUUGGUGGGGUGAGGCCUACCAAGGCGACGACGGGUAGCCGGCCUGAGAGGGCGACCGGCCACACUGGGACGUGAGACACGGCCC
RNAcentral lists this ribosomal RNA (303 nucleotides) under uncultured bacterium. Its description in RNAcentral is "bacterial SSU rRNA". It matches the Rfam family "Bacterial small subunit ribosomal RNA", at positions 28 to 332 of the family's 1533-position model. The record is from RNAcentral.